UACGUAGGGUGCGAGCGUUAAUCGGAAUUACUGGGCGUAAAGCGUGCGCAGGCGGUUGUGCAAGACAGAGGUGAAAUCCCCGGGCUUAACCUGGGAAUGGCCUUUGUGACUGCACGGCUAGAGUGUGUCAGAGGGGGGUAGAAUUCCACGUGUAGCAGUGAAAUGCGUAGAGAUGUGGAGGAAUACCGAUGGCGAAGGCAGCCCCCUGGGAUAACACUGACGCUCAGGCACGAAAGCGUGGGGAGCAAACAGG
This 253-nucleotide ribosomal RNA is filed under the name uncultured bacterium. RNAcentral's name for it is "partial 16S ribosomal RNA". It matches the Rfam family "Bacterial small subunit ribosomal RNA", at positions 524 to 776 of the family's 1533-position model. The record is from RNAcentral.